GGGUUGUGAGGUUAAGUGACUAAGCGUACACGGUGGAUGCCCUGGCAGUCAGAGGCGAUGAAGGACGUGCUAAUCUGCGAUAAGCGUCGGUAAGGUGAUAUGAACCGUCAUAACCGGCGAUUUCCGAAUGGGGAAACCCAGUGUGUUUCGACACACUAUCAUUAACUGAAUCCAUAGGUUAAUGAGGCGAACCGGGGGAACUGAAACAUCUAAGUACCCCGAGGAAAAGAAAUCAACCGAGAUUCCCCCAGUAGCGGCGAGCGAACGGGGAGCAGCCCAGAGCCUGAAUCAGUGUGUGUGUUAGUGGAAGCGUCUGGAAAGGCGCGCGAUACAGGGUGACAGCCCCGUACACAAAAAUGCACAUA
This 365-nucleotide ribosomal RNA is filed under the name Escherichia coli. RNAcentral describes it as "partial 23S ribosomal RNA". It matches the Rfam family "Bacterial large subunit ribosomal RNA", at positions 1 to 393 of the family's 2925-position model. Lineage: Bacteria; Pseudomonadati; Pseudomonadota; Gammaproteobacteria; Enterobacterales; Enterobacteriaceae. The record is from RNAcentral.